Molecule: long non-coding RNA, 218 nt
Filed under: Elaeis guineensis (African oil palm)
Lineage: Eukaryota; Viridiplantae; Streptophyta; Magnoliopsida; Arecales; Arecaceae
Description: long non-coding RNA (EGUI_LNC035171)
Source: RNAcentral
CAUAAGAGAAUGUAGAAGCUUACUACCUGCUCUAAGAAAAGAACCCAAGGAGUCUCUAGUAACAUAGCCAGCAGCAGCUUUAGAACCUUCAACCGAUGCAUCAAGUUAAUUAUGAGAACUCCAAUGGGAGGGGAUUACCAAGGCACCAUAGGAUGAUUGAUAGUUAGCAGAUGAGAGGAAUAGCCACCCCAGCACUAUAAAAGAGUUAUAUUAGAUGC